GACGAACGCUGGCGGCAUGCCUAAUACAUGCAAGUAGAACGCUGAAGACUUUAGCUUGCUAAAGUUGGAAGAGUUGCGAACGGGUGAGUAACGCGUAGGUAACCUGCCUACUAGCGGGGGAUAAUUAUUGGAAACGAUAGCUAAUACCGCAUAACAGCAUUUAACCCAUGUUAGAUGCUUGAAAGGAGCAAUUGCUUCACUAGUAGUGGGACCUGCGUUGUAUUAGCUAGUUGGUGGGGUAACGGCUCACCAAGGCGACGAUACAUAGCCGACCUGAGGGGGUGAUCGGCCACACUGGGACUGAGACACGGCCCAGACUCCUACGGGAGGCAGCAGUAGGGAAUCUUCGGCAAUGGGGGCAACCCUGACCGAGCAACGCCGCGUGAGUGAAGAGGGUUUUCGGAUCGUAAAGCUCUGUUGUAAGAGAAGAACGUGUGUGAGAGUGGAAAGUUCACACAGUGACGGUAACUUACCAGAAAGGGACGGCUAACUACGUGCCAGCCGCCGCAGUAA
RNAcentral lists this ribosomal RNA (513 nucleotides) under uncultured bacterium. RNAcentral's name for it is "partial 16S ribosomal RNA". It matches the Rfam family "Bacterial small subunit ribosomal RNA", at positions 28 to 523 of the family's 1533-position model. The record is from RNAcentral.